ACAAACUGUCAAAGUGUUAGUAAAUAGUGAGAAGGGCAGCGUGUUGCUGUGUACAUUUACGUGUGCUGUCACCGGUAACAAGGACAAAUGGCAGGUAAAGUCGACGAAGUGUUAGUUUCAUCUGCAAAGUUACUGGAAAUCCUCGCAGGUACCACAGAUGGCGAAGAAGAAGAAAAGUUGGUCGCAGAAUAUAUAAGGACACUAAACAAUAAUGUUCGACUGGAAGAUUUUAAAAAUAAUCUUGAGUGGUUCAAUACCAGCAAGUCACUAUCAUUGUAUGAUGACCUGAAGGGAAAAGUAGUUGUACUUGACUUCUUCACAUAUUGUUGUAUUAACUGUUUGCACAUACUUCCUUAUUUGAAGACCCUGGAAGAUACAUGUUCUGUAAAGGAUGGCCUGGUGAUUGUUGGUGUACACAGUGCAAAAUUUAAUAAUGAAAAAGAUUCGGCAAAUAUUCUUUCCGCCUUGCAACGCUAUGAAGUGCAUCAUCCUGUCGUUAAUGAUUCUGAAGGUAUAAUGUGGAAUGACAUUGCCAUUCCAUGCUGGCCUACACUACUUGUGUUGGGUCCAUCGGGUGAGCCCAUUUUGGUGCAGGUUGGAGAGAGUGGUGUCGCAGUAGCACUGAAAUUUGUAAAAAUUGCUUUGAAAUACUUCAGAGAGAAAGGAUAUCUAUCAGAACACACCCUGCCUGUGACACCAGCGGCACAUUUACGCCCAAAGUGUAACAACUCACUAUUGUUCCCAGGAAAGAUCACUGUCUGUCACUGCUGCAAGGAAAAACCAUGUGGCACCAUUGCGAUUUCAGACACUGGCAACCAUCGUGUUGUUAUCAUGUCAGACUGUGGUAAAGUUGAGUCUGUGAUUGGUGGAACAGAGAAAGGCUGCUCUGAUGGCAUCUUUACAGAAGCCCAAUUCAACAGCCCUCAAGGAUUGGCAUUUCAAAGCUGUAAACUUCUGUUUGUUGCAGAUACAGAAAACCACUGCAUCAGAAAAAUAGAUCUCACUGCAUGCCAAGUGACAACUGUGGCAGGAACAGGCAAGCAGGGGCACGAUACAGCUGGAGGUGGCCUGUGGACACAGCAGUCCCUAUCAUCUCCCUGGGACCUCUGUCUUGUUCCUGGAAGAGAGGCAGAUGCACAAAAUGAUCUCAGUGUACUUCUUAUAGCCAUGGCAGGCACUCACCAGUUAUGGGCUCUGUUUCUGAGGGACACUGUGUGGUGGAAACAGCAGUUUUAUAAGGAGGGAACUUGUGUUGCCAUUGUGGGUACUGGGAAAGAAGAAAAUCGUAACAACUUAUAUCCUCAUGCAGCAGCUUUUGCACAGCCUUCUGGUGUGACACUCUCUCCUGAACUGCAGGCUGUCUUUGUGGCAGAUAGUGAGAGCUCAAGUAUUCGGAGAGUAUCAUUGGUUGAUGGAAAAGUCAGCGCUGUUGCUGGUGGCAGUAGAAGUCCUUUUGAUCUGUUCCAGUUUGGAGAUGUAGAUGGGAAGUUAUAUGAUGCUAAAUUACAGCAUCCUUUAGGAGUUGCUUGGUGUCCAAGGAAUGAAACACUAUAUGUGGCAGACUCUUACAACCACAAGAUAAAAGCUAUCUCAAUUUCAACUAAUUUCUGUAAAACCUUUGCUGGUAGUGGAAAAUCUGGUGACUCAGUUGGACCCAUAGGUGAUAAUUCGGUUCAGUUCAGUGAGCCAGGUGGGUUAUGUGUGAGUUCUGAUGCAUCAAGAAUUUACAUUGCUGACACAAACAAUCACAGUAUAAAAGUGAUUCACUUGGAAUCGGAAUUGCUUGAAAGACCAAAAAUAACAAAGUUAUGCUGUGAUGUCCGCUGAAGGUUGUUCUCCAAUUGUGUGCAGUGUAGCCAUUCUGAUUUUCAUCUGAAACCAAAAAGGUGGAUGUUCAUAUUUCUAAUAUGUAUAAGAAGAAGACAAGAGCACCAAGAAAUUGUGUCCAGACUAAAAUUGCUAAAAUACAUCCUAAUGGAGGAACAGCCAAACUGAAAUUUCUUGUUGGUCUUGAUGAAGGCU
This 2022-nucleotide unclassified non-coding RNA is filed under the name Schistocerca americana (American grasshopper). RNAcentral's name for it is "nHL repeat-containing protein 2, transcript variant X3". The record is from RNAcentral. Lineage: Eukaryota; Metazoa; Arthropoda; Insecta; Orthoptera; Acrididae.